This 650-nucleotide ribosomal RNA is filed under the name uncultured marine bacterium. RNAcentral describes it as "bacterial SSU rRNA". It matches the Rfam family "Bacterial small subunit ribosomal RNA", at positions 83 to 767 of the family's 1533-position model. The record is from RNAcentral.
UAGCAAUACUUAGUGGCAGACGGGUGAGUAACAUGUAGGUAUCUGCCCUUUGGCCUGGAAUAACACGAGGAAACUUGUGCUAAUACCGGAUAAGUCUUUACGGAGAAAGCUUUAUGCACCAUUGGAUGAGCCUGCACUUGAUUAGUUUGUUGGUGGGGUAAUGGCCUACCAAGACUGUGAUCAAUAGCUGAUUUGAGAGGAUGAUCAGCCACAUUGGGACUGAGACACGGCCCAAACUCCUACGGGAGGCAGCAGUGGGGAAUCUUGCACAAUGGAGGAAACUCUGAUGCAGCGAUGCCGCGUGAGUGAAGAAGGCCCUUGGGUUGUAAAGCUCUUUCGUCGGGGAAGAAAAUGACUGUACCCGAAUAAGAAGGUCCGGCUAACUUCGUGCCAGCAGCCGCGGUAAUACGAAGGGACCUAGCGUAGUUCGGAAUUACUGGGCUUAAAGAGUUCGUAGGUGGUUGAAAAAGUUGGUGGUGAAAUCCCAGAGCUUAACUCUGGAACUGCCAUCAAAACUUUUCAGCUAGAGUAUGAUAGAGGAAAGCAGAAUUUCUAGUGUAGAGGUGAAAUUCGUAGAUAUUAGAAAGAAUACCAAUUGCGGAGGCAGCUUUCUGGAUCAUUACUGACACUGAGGAACGAAAGCAUGGGUA